This 1067-nucleotide ribosomal RNA is filed under the name Herdmania sp. (in: dinoflagellates). Its description in RNAcentral is "SSU rRNA". It matches the Rfam family "Eukaryotic small subunit ribosomal RNA", at positions 568 to 1661 of the family's 1831-position model. Lineage: Eukaryota; Dinophyceae; Peridiniales; Amphidiniopsidaceae. The record is from RNAcentral.
CAGCAGCGCGGUAAUUCCAGCUCCAACAGUGUAUGCUAAAGUUGUUGCGGUUGAAAAGCUCGUAGUUGGAUCUUGGGUGGGUGUCGUCGGUCCGUCGCAAGGCGUGUUACUGGCGGCGCCUGCCUCGUCUUCGGUUCUUCGUCGGUGCUCUUGACUGAGUGUCGGCGGUGGCCGAAAAGUUUACUUUGAAAAAAUUAGAGUGUUCAAAGCAGGCUGCUCGCCUGCAUAGUGUUGCAUGGAAUAAUGGAAUAGGACCUCGGUUCUAUUUUGUUGGUUUUCGGAGCGCGAGGUAAUGAUUAAGAGGGACAGACGGGGGCGUCCGUACUCUGCCGUUAGAGGUGAAAUUCUUGGAUCGGCGGAAGACGAACUACUGCGAAAGCAUUCGCCAAGAAUGUUUUCUUUAAUCAAGAGCGAAAGUCAGAGGUUCGAAGACGAUCAGAUACCGUCCUAGUUCUGACUAUAAACGAUGCCAACUAGCGAUCGGGAGGCGUUACCAUGACGACCUUCCCGGCAGCUUCCGGGAAACCAAAGUCUUUGGGUUCUGGGGGAAGUAUGGUUGCAAAGCUGAAACUUAAAGGAAUUGACGGAAGGGCACCACCAGGAGUGGAGCCUGCGGCUUAAUUUGACUCAACACGGGGAAACUCACCCGGCCCGGACACAGGAAGGAUUGACAGAUUGAGAGCUCUUUCUUGAUUCUGUGGGUGGUGGUGCAUGGCCGUUCUUAGUUGGUGGAGCGAUUUGUCUGGUUAAUUCCGAUAACGAACGAGACUCUGGCAUGCUAAAUAGUUACGCGACCUUCUCGGUCGGCGUCUAACUUCUUAGAGGGACUAGUGGCGCUUAGCCACACGAGAUUGAGCAAUAACAGGUCUGUGAUGCCCUUAGAUGUUCGGGGCCGCACGCGCGCUACACUGAAUGAAGCAGCGAGUGUCUAACCUAGGCCGAAAGGUCCGGGUAACCCGUUGAACCCCAUUCGUGAUUGGGAUAGGGACUUGCAAUUAUUUCCCUUGAACGAGGAAUUCCCAGUAAGCGCAAGUCAUCAGCUUGCGUUGAUUACGUCCCUGCCCUUU